GCACACGUGUCUCAGUGGUUACGGAGUCGGUCUUAUGAACAGAUUAGAAUACCGAAAGUCGCGAGUUCGAAUCUCGCCGUGUGCA
This is a transfer RNA of Thecamonas trahens ATCC 50062, 85 nucleotides long. It matches the Rfam family "tRNA". Rfam says of the family: Transfer RNA (tRNA) molecules are approximately 80 nucleotides in length. Their secondary structure includes four short double-helical elements and three loops (D, anti-codon, and T loops). The record is from Rfam. NCBI's taxonomy places the organism in Eukaryota, Apusomonadida, Apusomonadidae.